This 276-nucleotide ribosomal RNA is filed under the name uncultured bacterium. Its description in RNAcentral is "partial 16S ribosomal RNA". It matches the Rfam family "Bacterial small subunit ribosomal RNA", at positions 44 to 334 of the family's 1533-position model. The record is from RNAcentral.
GUGCCUAACACAUGCAAGUCGAACGAGAAAGUGGAGCAAUCCAUGAGUAAAGUGGCGACCGGGUGAGUAACACGUGACUAACCUACCCUACAGUGGGGGAUAACCUCGGGAAACCGGGGCUAAUACCGCAUAACAUCGCAAGAUCAAAGGAGCAAUCCGCUGAAGGAGGGGGUCGCGGCUGAUUAGUUAGUUGGUGAGGUAACGGCUCACCAAGACGAAGAUCAGUAGCCGGCCUGAGAGGGCGCACGGCCACACUGGAACUGAAACACGGUCCAG